RNAcentral lists this ribosomal RNA (424 nucleotides) under uncultured prokaryote. RNAcentral describes it as "bacterial SSU rRNA". It matches the Rfam family "Bacterial small subunit ribosomal RNA", at positions 355 to 796 of the family's 1533-position model. The record is from RNAcentral.
UGGGGAAUAUUGGACAAUGGGGGCAACCCUGAUCCAGCCAUGCCGCGUGAGUGAUGAAGGCCUUAGGGUUGUAAAGCUCUUUCACCCGUGACGAUGAUGACGGUAACGGGAGAAGAAGCCCCGGCUAACUCCGUGCCAGCAGCCGCGGUAAUACGGAGGGAGCUAGCGUUGUUCGGAAUUACUGGGCGUAAAGCGCGCGUAGGCGGCCAUUCAAGUCAGGGGUGAAAUCCCGGGGCUCAACCCCGGAACUGCCCUUGAAACUAGGUGGCUAGAAUACUGGAGAGGUGAGUGGAAUUCCGAGUGUAGAGGUGAAAUUCGUAGAUAUUCGGAAGAACACCAGUGGCGAAGGCGACUCACUGGACAGUUAUUGACGCUGAGGUGCGAAAGCGUGGGGAGCAAACAGGAUUAGAUACCCGGGUAGUCC